This 440-nucleotide ribosomal RNA is filed under the name uncultured bacterium. RNAcentral describes it as "partial 16S ribosomal RNA". It matches the Rfam family "Bacterial small subunit ribosomal RNA", at positions 338 to 795 of the family's 1533-position model. The record is from RNAcentral.
CCUACGGGUGGCAGCAGUGGGGAAUAUUGCACAAUGGGGGAAACCCUGAUGCAGCGACGCCGCGUGAGUGAAGAAGUAAUUCGUUAUGUUAAGCUCUAUCAGCAGGGAAGUAAAUGACGGUACCUGUGUAAGAAGCCCCGGCUAACUACGUGCCAGCAGCCGCGGUAAUACGUAGGGGGCAAGCGUUAUCCGGAUUUACUGGGUGUAAAGGGAGCGUAGUCGGCAGUGCAAGUCUGGAGUGAAAGGCGGGGGCUCAACCCCCGGACUGCUCUUGAAACUGUACGGCUGGAGUGCAGGAGAGGUAAGUGGAAUUCGUAGUGUAGCGGUGAAAUGCGUAGAUAUUAGGAGGAACACCAGUGGCGAAGGCGGCUUACUGGACUGUAACUGACGCUGAGGCUCGAAAGCGUGGGUAGCAAACAGGAUUAGAUACCCGAGUAGUC